RNAcentral lists this transfer RNA (65 nucleotides) under Cherax bicarinatus. RNAcentral's name for it is "tRNA-Ser". It matches the Rfam family "tRNA". From Rfam's summary of the family: Transfer RNA (tRNA) molecules are approximately 80 nucleotides in length. Their secondary structure includes four short double-helical elements and three loops (D, anti-codon, and T loops). The record is from RNAcentral. Lineage: Eukaryota; Metazoa; Arthropoda; Malacostraca; Decapoda; Parastacidae.
GGUUAUUUAGUUUAUUUAAAACAAAUGUUUUGAAAACAUUUAAAGGAAGUUUUUUCCAAUAACCA